RNAcentral lists this transfer RNA (89 nucleotides) under Fusibacter bizertensis. RNAcentral's name for it is "tRNA-Ser". It matches the Rfam family "tRNA". Rfam says of the family: Transfer RNA (tRNA) molecules are approximately 80 nucleotides in length. Their secondary structure includes four short double-helical elements and three loops (D, anti-codon, and T loops). Lineage: Bacteria; Bacillati; Bacillota; Clostridia; Eubacteriales; Fusibacteraceae. The record is from RNAcentral. RNAcentral also lists the same sequence under 4 other names.
GGAGAGGUACCGAAGCGGUCAUAACGGGGCGGUCUUGAAAACCGUUAGGGUGUGAGCCCACGUGGGUUCGAAUCCCACCCUCUCCGCCA